This 437-nucleotide ribosomal RNA is filed under the name uncultured bacterium. RNAcentral's name for it is "bacterial SSU rRNA". It matches the Rfam family "Bacterial small subunit ribosomal RNA", at positions 774 to 1222 of the family's 1533-position model. The record is from RNAcentral.
AGCCAAUAGAUACCCCGGUAGUCCUAGCUGUAAACAAUGACCACUAGGUGUGCGGGGUUCGACCCCCUGCGUACCGUAGUCAAACACAAAUAAGUGGUCCGCCUGGGGAGGUACGGUCGCAAGACUAAAACUACAAAGGAAUUGACGGGGACCCGCACAAGCAGCGGAGCGUGUGGUUUAAUUCGAUGCAACACGAAGAACCUUACCAGGGCUUGACAUGGGCAUGAUAACAGCAGAAAUGUUGUUCCCUUCGGGGCAUGUCCACAGGUGCUGCAUGGCUGUCGUCAGCUCGUGCCGUGAGGUGUUGGGUUAAGUCCCGCAACGAGCGCAACCCUUAUCGUCAGUUAGAAAUGUCUGACGAGACUGCCACCAUAAAGGUGGAGGAAGGUGGGGAUGACGUCAAGUCAGCACGGCCCUGACGUCCUGGGCAACACACA